Molecule: ribosomal RNA, 213 nt
Filed under: Clostridioides difficile
Lineage: Bacteria; Bacillati; Bacillota; Clostridia; Peptostreptococcales; Peptostreptococcaceae
Description: partial 23S ribosomal RNA
Rfam family: Bacterial large subunit ribosomal RNA
Source: RNAcentral
AGGGAUAAGGGGUGCCACCAUCAGGUGGCCGCAGAGAAUAGGCCCAAGCGACUGUUUACCAAAAACAUAGGUUUCUGCUAAGUCGAAAGACGAUGUAUAGGAGCUGACGCCUGCCCGGUGCUGGAAGGUUAAGGGGAUCUGUUAGAGCAAUCGAAGCAGUGAACUUAAGCCCCAGUAAACGGCGGCCGUAACUAUAACGGUCCUAAGGUAGCG